GUUCAAAUGGGCAGAUAAAAGGUUCAAGUUAUUUCAAGCUGACAUUUAUAGGCAAGAGGAAUUUGAGGAGGCUAUUCAAGGCUGUGAAUUUGUUUUCCAUGUUGCCACCCCUUUGUUGCAUUCUGAAGGAUUUCAGACUAGGGUACGAUUCUGCUCCUCUCUCUUCCUCCAUCUCUGCGUCAACAUCAUCAUCAUCAUCUUUCUCCUACAAUCUUUCACCAAAUAGCUUGCCACGGGAUCCGCUAAUGCCAUGAUUGCUCGGGAUUACGACGAUAAUCCCUCUCCUGGAAAUAACCACCCAAACCGUCAGAAUAAUAGUGGUAAAAGGCAUCAAAACCGCAGCAACAAUGGUGGAAAGAACUGUGGCAGAUGCGGUGGCAAUAGGGGCAGCAACAACCGAAACAGUGGUGGUUUCGGUGGUGGACGCGGCAGCUGGCAACAGCACCACGACCAGCAGCAAUAGUGGCAGCAGCCUUGGAUGGGGAAUGGACAACAAUGGCAGUGGCCCUACAUGUCGUGGCCUGUGCCUCCUUGUCCGUAUCCAACUACUCCACGGCCACGGACCAACACUCAACAGAGGCAGGCUGGUAUACUUGGGCCACGUCCACUACAAGCUUACGCUACCGACGUUCAACCUACUCCAACCGACAUCGAGGCAGCGAUGCACACACUUGGGCUCACUCCGCCGGAUGCAAAUUGGUACAUGGAUACCGCAGCCACUUCUCAUAUGACAUCCGUGCAAGGAUUACCAGACGGGGAUGCGUCUAAUGAGAUGUGAUAGUCAGGGGGAGCUUUAUCCCAUCACCACCACACCACCAUCGUCUUUUGCAGCUUUAACUUCAUCUAUGUGGCAUGAUCGCUUAGGUCAUCCGGGAGCACCUGUUUUCGACUCCCUUAGGCAAAAUAAAUUUAUUAAAUGUAAUGGACCGAUUAAGUCUCAUGUUUGUCAUUCCUGCACUCUUGGAAAACAGACUAAAUUGCCAUUUGUUGCAUCUCAUUCACAAACAUGUAUGCCAUUUGAUAUUAUCUAUAGUGAUCUUUGGACAUCUCCCGUUUUGAGCUAUUCGGGCCACAAAUAUUAUG
This is an RNA transcript of Lycium barbarum (goji berry), 1083 nucleotides long. It is a transcript of the gene named NADPH HC-toxin reductase 1-like, with no coding region annotated. The record is from RefSeq and is a predicted model, not a curated record. Lineage: Eukaryota; Viridiplantae; Streptophyta; Magnoliopsida; Solanales; Solanaceae. The transcript is spliced from 3 exons.